CCUACGGGAGGCAGCAGUGAGGAAUAUUGGUCAAUGGGCGCAAGCCUGAACCAGCCAAGUCGCGUGAGGGAUGACGGUCCUAUGGAUUGUAAACCUCUUUUGUCGGGGAGCAAGGCCCGCCACGUGUGGCGGGAAGGGGAGUACCCGAAGAAAAGGCAUCGGUUAAUUCCGUGCCAGCAGCCGCGGUAAUCCGGAGGAUGCGAGCGUUAUCCGGAUUUAUUGGGUUUAAAGGGUGCGUAGGCGGAAGGUUAAGUCAGCGGUAAAAUGUCGGUGCUCAACACCGGCCUGCGGUUGAAACUGGUCUGCGUGAGUGAGCGGGAAGAAUGCGGAAUGCGUGGUGAAGCGGUGAAAGGAA
Molecule: ribosomal RNA, 355 nt
Filed under: uncultured bacterium
Lineage: Bacteria
Description: partial 16S ribosomal RNA
Rfam family: Bacterial small subunit ribosomal RNA
Source: RNAcentral